RNAcentral lists this ribosomal RNA (263 nucleotides) under uncultured microorganism. RNAcentral describes it as "partial 16S ribosomal RNA". It matches the Rfam family "Archaeal small subunit ribosomal RNA", at positions 330 to 591 of the family's 1478-position model. The record is from RNAcentral.
GUGCAGCAGUCGCGAAUCCUCCGCAAUACACGAAAGUGUGACGGGGCCAUCCCGAGUGCCGUCCGCUGAGGACGGCUUUUCCCCAGUGUACAUAGCUGGGGGAAUAAGGAGAGGGCAAGCCUGGUGUCAGCCGGCCGCGGUAAUACCAGCUCUCCGAGUGGGUGGGGACGCUUAUUGGGGCCUAAAGCAUCCGUAGCCGGCUGGGGCAAGUCCUCCGUCAAAUCCAACGAUUCAAUCGUUGGGCUGCGGGGGAUACUGUCCAG